AGAGUGAACGCUGGCGGCAGGCCUAACACAUGCAAGUCGAACGGCAGCACAGAGGAGCUUGCUCCUUGGGUGGCGAGUGGCGGACGGGUGAGGAAUACGUCGGAAUCUGCCUAUUUGUGGGGGAUAACGUAGGGAAACUUACGCUAAUACCGCAUACGACCUACGGGUGAAAGCGGAGGACCUUCGGGCUUCGCGCAGAUAGAUGAGCCGACGUCGGAUUAGCUAGUGGCGGGUAAGCCCACAAGGCGACGAUCCGUAGCUGGUCUGAGAGGAUGAUCAGCCACACUGGAACUGAGAC
Molecule: ribosomal RNA, 298 nt
Filed under: uncultured soil bacterium
Lineage: Bacteria
Description: partial 16S ribosomal RNA
Rfam family: Bacterial small subunit ribosomal RNA
Source: RNAcentral